RNAcentral lists this ribosomal RNA (571 nucleotides) under bacterium E-2-0-6G. RNAcentral's name for it is "bacterial SSU rRNA". It matches the Rfam family "Bacterial small subunit ribosomal RNA", at positions 386 to 945 of the family's 1533-position model. The record is from RNAcentral.
AUCCAGCCAUGCCGCGUGUGUGAAGAAGGCCUUUUGGUUGUAAAGCACUUUAAGCGAGGAGGAGGCGCUCUAGGUUAAUACCUUAGAAGCGUGGACGUUACUCGCAGAAUAAGCACCGGCUAACUCUGUGCCAGCAGCCGCGGUAAUACAGAGGGUGCGAGCGUUAAUCGGAUUUACUGGGCGUAAAGCGUACGUAGGCGGCUUUUUAAGUCGGAUGUGAAAUACCCCGAGCUUAACUUGGGAAUUGCAUUCGAUACUGGGAAGCUAGAGUAUGGGAGAGGAUGGUAGAAUANCGCAGGUGUAGCGGUGAAAUGCGUAGAGAUCUGGAGGAAUACCGAUGGCGAAGGCAGCCAUCUGGCCUAAUACUGACGCUGAGGUACGAAAGCAUGGGGAGCAAACAGGAUUAGAUACCCUGGUAGUCCAUGCCGUAAACGAUGUCUACUAGCCGUUGGGGCCUUUGAGGCUUUAGUGGCGCAGCUAACGCGAUAAGUAGACCGCCUGGGGAGUACGGUCGCAAGACUAUAACUCAAAUGAAUUGACGGGGGCNCGCACAAGCGGUGGAGCAUGUGGU